Molecule: long non-coding RNA, 4095 nt
Filed under: Homo sapiens (human)
Lineage: Eukaryota; Metazoa; Chordata; Mammalia; Primates; Hominidae
Description: HSALNT0122854
Source: RNAcentral
GAUCAAAGAAGAUAUGAAUAAAAUUGUCACUUAGAUAAAAUAAAUGUUCUAAGAAAUUAAGAAAAAGAAAACAUUGUGGAUGGAAUUUCCUGAUAGUUGACAUUCAAGAAGCAGAUGCAAAUUUGCUAAAUGUUUCCUUUAUCACUUACGAUCCAGCACAUACACUGUGACUUCUAUUAUAAUCAGAGGACCUGCUGGGCCCUGGAGAUGAAAAGGUGACUUUUUGGGGUGUAGAGUGUGAAUGUUAAAUUUCCCCCUGAGAAAACCCCACUGGUUAUCUAAUUAAGCCUGUGAACAUCCUCUCCCCAAAAUGCACACAUAUAAUUUAUAACUCCUGGAGUUUACAAGAUAUUCUUUCUAUCUUACUGAAAAUGUGGUGUGUUAGAACAAGUCACUUUGUUGAUGUCCUAAAAGUCAAAAGUCUGUGACCAAUAUGCAUGCUAGAAUUUUUUAGUAUAUAGUAUUUUCAAAAGACAAAAUGUGGAUUCAAGAAUAUUUUUCACUCCUUAGGCUAUGUUUUCUGGCAAUGAACAUAGAAAGAAGUUUUGCUUGACAGAGAAGGUUUGGGAGCUGGUUUCUUCUUUAUCUACCUGGUACUUAUCAUGAAAGUAAAUAAUGGUUAUAGAAGGCACUCAUUCAUCACUCAGUCAUCUCUGUCAUAACUCAAUUGCUGCAACAGUGGUACCACUUCUACACAUGCUAUGAAAGAACCAGCAUAAUCACUCUUUAAAGUCAUUACAGAUUAAACAAAUAACAGUGAAGCACAUUUUGGUAAACGUUUAUUUUUCUUGCUCUAAACAUAGUAUGUCCUCACAUUUACUUUAAGUUCUGUCCUUGAAUUAAUUUCAUUUAUAAUAUAUUUUAAAAAUAAGAAAAAACUUGAUGUCCCUCAUUAAGAAAACUUUUGAUUUGUAUGCAUCUCAUGUUGUGUUUUUGUAAACUACCACUGAAAAAUCUUAAGAUAAUUGCUGUAUAAUGGGGUAAUUAAUUAAAAUAACAAUAAUAAAAAUUAAAAUUCUAAAUUAGUCUCAAACCAUGUUAACUUUACUUUAAUUAUCAAGCUGUAAUUUCAAACCAGAGAAGGAACUUAGAGGCAUUCCAUGUAAACUUCAAUUUUGUCUGUGUGGUGUGUGUGUUUUGUUUUGUUUUGUUUUUUAGGAAGAAGAGUGGCCCAAAAGAUGAUGAGUCUUUAUUGUAAUCCUAUAACAGUGAUUUUGUAAUCACAUAACUGAUUUUUUAAAUAAGGUUAUCUCCUUUUGAACAUUUUCUGAGAUGCUAGAGAUAGUGGGUAAAUGAAAAUAGAAAAGAUAAAUAAAAUGGAAAUAUUUAGGAUACUUUUAAAGACACGUAAUUAUUAAGUAUUGUUUUAAAGGAAGAGAAGACUGUUUAUUCAGUGACAAAGAAAUAGGACGGGAAGUCAUGGGGGAAAUCAGACCUGGGAAUCCCUAAGAGAAUCCUAUAUCUUUGUUCCAUUUUGCAGCAUGUAGGUAACAUGGUGUGGUGGCAAGACAGUUUUUGUUUGUUCCUUUGUGUUUCAAGCGAGACAAAUUUGGGGGAAGAGAUAUUACAUCCAUUGAUCUAUUCAUUCACUAAACAUUUACUAAGCUACUGUUGUGUGAUCAACACUGCAUUUUGUAUCAGUCUAAAGAAUGUACAUAAUAUUUUGGGGGGACCAUUUGUUUUACAAUUUUCAUAUACUUUACAAGCCAAAAUAUCACCUCAUCUUAAUAGUCGUAAACUGAGCACAGCUGUAUGCAUUAUGUAAAACUUAAACAUUUUCAAAUAUAUUAACCAAAUUCAGUAGCAUAGUUUCAUUUACUACACCCAGAAGGCAUACUCUCUAACUGGUCUGGGAAUAGUCUCACUUUUUAUUUGAAAUUCAACAGUUAUUAAAACUGUUUUGGCUGGAGUACCAGCCAGUUGACCCAGGCUCAAAAUCAGAUCUCAGUAGGGAGACUAUUUUCUUUAAUCCAAGCCAGAAUGGAAAGAAUCUCGGCCAAGUGUCCAAGCUAAAGGCAAGCUCAAACAAACAAAACCAAUCACACUAAAAGAUGGUCCUGUAUGAUAGAUGAACCUAAGUAGAACAAGCCUGAAAAGAAAGAUAAGCUGGUUCAAAAUAAAUAAGGACAGAACAUGAUUUUCUAUAAACAACAUCUAGAUUUCUGAAGAUCUCCCUUUGCGUCUAGAUUUCUAUGUCACAUGUUGGCCUGAAAAGGCUAGAAAGAAUAAUUUUAUUUCAUUUUUAGCUGAAAUAUACUUCAUAAGUGUGUAUACACUGAAACACUUUAAAUUACUGACCAUUCUUGGCAUUUCACACUUACUUUUAUCUUCCCUGUACCUCAAAGAAAUACAAGGAAGCCACUUUUUAAAUGAUAAGACAAGUCACCAUUGUUUUCAAGGCCAUGGAUCAAAACUUGGAAGAAAAACUUAGCCACUGACAACUUUUUAUUGGAAAUUAUUUUAUUAAUUUAGAUCUGCUUGAAAAUAAUCCUUACUGAAUGCAUAGUAUAAACUUUUAUGUGGAUGUCAAUGAAUAGAACAAAAAUGAUAUAAAAGUCAUAGUUUCAAAAAAAAAAAAGGAGAGAGACUUGGCUUUUUUUUCCAUUCCUAAUUCUCCCAUUCUUUCAAGUUCCCUUAUUUACUUUGAGAUUAUUACAUUUUUCUUCCAUUCCCACUUCUCCUCGUCUAUCAUGCUCCUUUCUCAUUUUAUUUGAGACUACUACAAUGUGUCUCUAAUGGUUCUAUUGCACUCAAUCUGUGCACUCAGAAACUGGCAGAGAAGCACCCAAAAACAGCCUGUUGAGCUCCCUAGAAGAAAACCCCCAAUCGUGUCACUUCACUUCACAUGAAAAAACUUCUUCAUUUUCUGCCAAAUGAAACCUGACUUCUCCGCCUGUCUUUCAGGCUUUCUACUGAAAACCCACCCCACAUUUUCAAUAUCAUGUCUCGCCAUUCCUUACCUAGAAUGAGCUCUUCUCUGCCCUGUGCCUUCCAGCACCUGUGGCUUUAUUCUGAUAGUCCUUUCUGCUUUUUAUCUAGUUCUAUGAGUCCAACUCAAAUUCUGAAUCCUCCUGGAAUUUACUCUAAUUUAUUUUCCUUUCAGUACUUCCCUGUUCUCAGAAUGAGCUGUUCUACCUUGGCGCACUCACAUACUUGCUUCUGAUGCUAUGUCUCAUGUGCAGAAUUGUGUCCCAGGUAUUUUUCUAAGUCUCUCUAGUUUCCUUAAACAAUGACGAGCUCUGUGAGGUGCAGGCUGCACUGGAUCCAGGGCUCUCCAUGAGCAGCUCCCCAGCAGCCUGCAACUGGCAUGGAUUGCCCUGCACCCUCCUCUCCAGGCACAGUGUGGGAAAGCUUUUCAUUUUCAUAAAGCUUAUUUUUUAUAUAAAAUAAAAUAAAAACCUGCAUGAUAACUCAUGAUACGUUGGAGAGAAAUAAAGAGGCAGAUGUGGCAGGAUAUCACAAGGAAAUGUCAGCAUCUUAUGCAGCAGGGUUUGAUUUGGGGGACAGUGGAGAAUAGAUAAGAUCGAGAGGAAUGAUAAAAUAAUAGGGAAGACUGUACCCACAGACAAUAAACAGACAGGCAAGGAGACUGCACCAUGCAGAAAAGAGGGGAGAUUAGGAGUGGCGGAUGAAUGAUAAGUAGUUUUGGUUAUUCAUAAAUCAGAAAACAGGUAGUUUUGGAUUUAGUAUUUCAGUUCUGGUCACAUAGGUUAAAUACACACUGAGAUAUACUGAAAGAGUCCAUAAAUCUAAAAAACAACUGAAAUAUUUAAAUACCUAGAUAAAAAUACUGGCACGGAACAAAUUGUGUAUAAAAAGUAAUUGUUACCUAAUAAACUUUUUUCAGAUACUGUGCAAUAUUAUGCUCAGUAUCUGAAAAAAGUUUAUUAGGUAACAAAUUAAAAUGUGCUUUAUGCAAACAUAUGGGCAUUAGCUUAAAAUAUCUACCUUGUCUUGAGUUCAGUGUAUUUUAAAAAUGCAAAAAUAAAUAUAAUUUAUUUGUAUUUUUUUAUCUAGAUACUUUUAUUUAAAUUACUUAAUUAGCUUCUUUAUGUUCCACCUCCCAUGAAAAUGAUUGAGAGUGGCUUAUAUAGA